GAUGAACGCUGGCGGUCUGCUUAACACAUGCAAGUCGAACGGAAUCCUUCGGGAUUUAGUGGCGGACGGGUGAGUAACGCGUGAGAAUCUGCCUUCAGGUUCGGGACAACAGCUGGAAACGGCUGCUAAUACCGGAUGUGCCGAGAGGUGAAAGCUUUAGUGCCUGAAGAUGAGCUCGCGUCUGAUUAGCUAGUAGGAGUGGUAAUGGCACCCCUAGGCGACGAUCAGUAGCUGGUCUGAGAGGAUGAUCAGCCACACUGGGACUGAGACACGGCCCAGUCUCCUACGGGAGGCAGCAGUGGGGAAUUUUCCGCAAUGGGCGCAAGCCUGACGGAGCAAGACCGCGUGAGGGAAGAAGGUCUGUGGAUUGUAAACCUCUUUUGAUGGGAAGAAGACAGUGACGGUACCCAUCGAAUCAGCCUCGGCUAACUCCGUGCCAGCCGCCGCGGUAA
RNAcentral lists this ribosomal RNA (452 nucleotides) under uncultured bacterium. RNAcentral's name for it is "partial 16S ribosomal RNA". It matches the Rfam family "Bacterial small subunit ribosomal RNA", at positions 28 to 523 of the family's 1533-position model. The record is from RNAcentral.